AUGAUAGAGGAGAUGACAGCACUUGAUAAAAAUAAUACUUGGGUACUCACUACUCUUCCUCCUAACAAAAGGGCUGUUGGUUGUAAAUGGGUAUUUACUGUAAAACAAAAUUCAGAGGGAAAAGUAGAAAGAUAUAAAGCCAGGUUAGUGGCAAAGGGGUAUAGUCAGACUUAUGGAGUGGACUAUGAUGAGACCUUCGCACCAGUGGCGAAAAUGAACACCAUUAAGGCUCUCAUAUCUAUAGCUGCAAAUAAUAAGUGGAGGUUAUUUCAAAUGGAUGUUAAAAAUGCUUUUCUUCAUGGAGAUUUGAAAGAAGAGGUUUAUAUGGAGAUUCCCCCUGGGUUUGGUACACAAGAAACAGAGGGUAAAGUGUGUAGGCUGAAAAGGUCUCUAUAUGGUUUGAAACAGUCACCUAGAGCAUGGUUUGGACGACUUAGAAAGGAGAUAUGCUCUAUGGGUUAUCGACAAAGCAAUGCAGAUCACACCCUUUUCUUUAAGUACCAGAGUGGCAAGAUUGUCAUCCUUAUUGUGUAUGUUGAUGAUAUUGUGAUCACAGGCAAUGAUGAUGAUGGGAUAGCAUUCCUAAAGAAGAUGUUGGCCAAGUCAUUUGAAGUUAAGGAUCUGGGUUUUCUUCAUUAUUUCCUGGGAAUUGAGGUUGCAUAUGGAUCACAAGGCAUUUACUUAUCGCAAAGAAAAUAUGUACUUGAUUUACUCGUUGAAACUGGCAUGCUAAAUUGUAGACCAGCGACAACUCCAAUUGAGCAGAACCAUCGUAUUCGAGCAGAUUCUGGUGAUCCUGUGGACAAACAUCAAUAUCAAAGGUUAGUUGGUCGGUUAAUUUAUUUAUCACACACUAGGCCAGACAUUGCCUAUGCUGUUAGCUUGGUGAGCAGAUUUAUGCAUGACCCGAGAUCAAGUCAUUUAGAUGUUGUGCACAGAAUACUAAGAUAUCUUAAAGGUUGUCUGGGAAGAGGGAUUCUAUUUUCUAAUUAUGGACACUUAAAAGUAGAGGGUUUUACUGAUGCUGAUUGGGCUGGGUGCCUAGACGAUAGAAGGUCUACAUCUGGCUACUGUGUUUUCGUUGGUGGUAAUCUUGUUAGUUGGAGGAGCAAAAAAUAA
RNAcentral lists this ribosomal RNA (1119 nucleotides) under Triticum aestivum (bread wheat). Its description in RNAcentral is "partial small subunit ribosomal RNA". Lineage: Eukaryota; Viridiplantae; Streptophyta; Magnoliopsida; Poales; Poaceae. The record is from RNAcentral.